This 1090-nucleotide long non-coding RNA is filed under the name Numida meleagris (helmeted guineafowl). RNAcentral's name for it is "lncRNA (ENSNMEG00000012191.1)". The record is from RNAcentral. Lineage: Eukaryota; Metazoa; Chordata; Aves; Galliformes; Numididae.
AUUCUAGGAGGUAUCCAUUUGUUUUUAUUGAGUCCAUCUCCAGUCUACAAAACCCAUUCAAUUCUCUCAGUAUUCGGAGUACAAACAGCUCAGCUUUCGUGAAAACCCCAGGCUUCUGUAUGACUGAGGCGUGCUGGUGAUUAAAUCUACCUCCAUCAGAGUGUGUUUUCAGACUGAUGUGUUUGUUUUUCAAUGCAUCUUACUUCUCUUAUUACUGACAUAGUCCAGAUGGUUCUGCUUCCAGGAGCCACUCAGUCACAGUAAUAAUCAGCUAAUCCAAUACCACCACCUUCUGGCUUUGCAGUAACUUCAUUGCUGUUAUGAAUAAACUUCCAUUAUGCUUUCUUGCUGUAGGUGAAAGUAAAGGGAUCACAUUUUGUAGGACCUUCAGCAAGUCGUGCUCCCUUUGGGACUCUAAAUAUCUCCUUUCUCUUUAGGAACUGGAUUGUGUCUAAAGUGUCCUGCUGGGUAUUUCUGUCCUGCUGGAGCAAGUCACCCAGCACCAUGCCAGCCAGGUACAUACAAUCCUCUCCAAGGACAGGAUGAAGCCACUGACUGCAGAGCCUGCCCAGCAGGAAGAGCUUGCACUCAGGCUGGAUUAGCCCAGCCUGACUCCGAGUGCUUACCGGGGUACGUGUGCCCAGCGGGGUCAUCCAGCCCCCAUUUUCCCAGCAAUGCCUGUCCUCCAGGAACGGUUGGUGAUGGCUUCGAUCUCUUUGAUAAGUCCCAGUGUGAGACGUGUCCUGCUGGAUAUUUCUGUGCUAGAGGAACAGGGGGAAAACAGAAGCCUCCUGCUCCGUGUCCGGUUGGUCACUACUGCCCACCAGGCACAAAGCACGCAGUGCAGCACAAGUGUGCCCCGGGCACCUGGAGCAACAGGACAAGGCUGAAAUCAGAAGAGGAGUGCUUGCUGUGCCCUGCGGGCUGGUUUUGUGUGGGAGGAUCUCAAGUCCCUUCUGGCAUGUGCAGCUCGGGGCACUACUGCCCUCAAGGUAGGCAGUUUUUGCUAGAAAUGAAAGAAAUUUCCUUUAUUUUUCUGUCUUUAGAGAUGCAAUGGGCUCUGAUAAAGUCAGCACAUGGCUUUAUUAGU